This 253-nucleotide ribosomal RNA is filed under the name uncultured prokaryote. Its description in RNAcentral is "partial 16S ribosomal RNA". It matches the Rfam family "Bacterial small subunit ribosomal RNA", at positions 523 to 775 of the family's 1533-position model. The record is from RNAcentral.
AGACAGAGGGUGCAAACGUUGUUCGGAAUUACUGGGCGUAAAGCGCGUGUAGGCGGCUCUGCAAGUCGGGUGUGAAAUCCCAUGGCUCAACCAUGGUAGUGCACUCGAAACUGCAGGGCUAGAGUCCUGGAGAGGAAGGUGGAACGCUUGGUGUAGAGGUGAAAUUCGUAGAUAUCAAGCGGAACACCGGUGGCGAAGGCGGCCUUCUGGACAGUGACUGACGCUGAGACGCGAAGGCGUGGGGAGCAAACAG